This 253-nucleotide ribosomal RNA is filed under the name uncultured bacterium. Its description in RNAcentral is "partial 16S ribosomal RNA". It matches the Rfam family "Bacterial small subunit ribosomal RNA", at positions 524 to 776 of the family's 1533-position model. The record is from RNAcentral.
UACGGAGGGUGCGAGCGUUGUCCGGAAUCAUUGGGCGUAAAGGGCGCGUAGGUGGCGGGACAAGCGUGCGGUGAAAGCUCGGGGCUCAACCCCGAGUCGGCCGUGCGAACUGUUUUGCUUGAGCACUGUAGAGGCAGGCGGAAUUCCGGGUGUAGCGGUGGAAUGCGUAGAGAUCCGGAAGAACACCGGUGGCGAAGGCGGCCUGCUGGGCAGUAGCUGACACUGAUGCACGAAAGCUAGGGGAGCAAACAGG